This 253-nucleotide ribosomal RNA is filed under the name uncultured bacterium. Its description in RNAcentral is "partial 16S ribosomal RNA". It matches the Rfam family "Bacterial small subunit ribosomal RNA", at positions 524 to 776 of the family's 1533-position model. The record is from RNAcentral.
UACGGAGGGUGCGAGCGUUGUCCGGAAUCACUGGGCGUAAAGGGCGCGUAGGCGGCAAGGUCAGUCAACGGUGAAAGCUUGGGGCUCAACCCCGAGACGGCCGUCGAUACUUCUUUGCUGGAGCACUGUAGAGGCAGAUGGAAUUCCGGGUGUAGCGGUGGAAUGCGUAGAGAUCCGGAAGAACACCGGUGGCGAAGGCGGUCUGCUGGGCAGUUGCUGACACUGAUGCGCGACAGCGUGGGGAGCAAACAGG